AGCUAUAACCAACCAAAAUUUCUAUAAUAAAAUAGUAGGUUUAGAGAAAAAAUUACAUUUGAGUUCAGUAAGGGGUCAAGUAUUAUCAAAUUUUUUCUAGGGUUAUAGUA
Molecule: ribosomal RNA, 110 nt
Filed under: Sporolithon durum
Lineage: Eukaryota; Rhodophyta; Florideophyceae; Sporolithales; Sporolithaceae
Source: RNAcentral